UGGCUCAGUUGGUAGAGCAUGGCACUUGUAAUGCCAGUAGUGUGGGUUCGUUUCCCAC
RNAcentral lists this transfer RNA (58 nucleotides) under Salmo salar (Atlantic salmon). It matches the Rfam family "tRNA", at positions 8 to 63 of the family's 71-position model. Rfam says of the family: Transfer RNA (tRNA) molecules are approximately 80 nucleotides in length. Their secondary structure includes four short double-helical elements and three loops (D, anti-codon, and T loops). Further hydrogen bonds mediate the characteristic L-shaped molecular structure. tRNAs have two regions of fundamental functional importance: the anti-codon, which is responsible for specific mRNA codon recognition, and the 3' end, to which the tRNAs corresponding amino acid is attached (by aminoacyl-tRNA synthetases). tRNAs cope with the degeneracy of the genetic code in two manners: having more than one tRNA (with a specific anti-codon) for a particular amino acid; and 'wobble' base-pairing, i.e. permitting non-standard base-pairing at the 3rd anti-codon position. Lineage: Eukaryota; Metazoa; Chordata; Actinopteri; Salmoniformes; Salmonidae. RNAcentral also lists the same sequence under 1 other name. The record is from Rfam by way of RNAcentral.